This 495-nucleotide ribosomal RNA is filed under the name uncultured bacterium. RNAcentral describes it as "partial 16S ribosomal RNA". It matches the Rfam family "Bacterial small subunit ribosomal RNA", at positions 28 to 507 of the family's 1533-position model. The record is from RNAcentral.
GACGAACGCUGGCGGCGUGCCUAAUACAUGCAAGUAGAACGCUGAAGGAGGAGCUUGCUUCUCUGGAUGAGUUGCGAACGGGUGAGUAACGCGUAUGUAACCUGCCUGUUAGCGGGGGAUAACUAUUGGAAACGAUAGCUAAUACCGCAUAAGAGUAGAUGUUGCAUGACAUUUGCUUAAAAGGUGCAAUUGCAUCACUACCAGAUGGACCUGCGUUGUAUUAGCUAGUUGGUGGUGUAACGGCUCACCAAGGCGACGAUACAUAGCCGACCUGAGAGGGGGAUCGGCCACACUGGGACUGAGAAACGGGCCAGACUCCUAAGGGAGGGAGCAGUAGGGAAUCUUCGGGAAUGGACGGAAGUCUGAACGGGCAAAGCCGCGGGAGUGAAGAAGGUUUUCGGAUCGUAAAGAUCUGGUGUAAGAGAAGAAAGAGUGUGAGAGUGGAAAGUUCACACUGUGACGGUAUCUUACCAGAAAGGGACGGCUAACUACGUG